RNAcentral lists this ribosomal RNA (468 nucleotides) under uncultured bacterium. RNAcentral describes it as "partial 16S ribosomal RNA". It matches the Rfam family "Bacterial small subunit ribosomal RNA", at positions 28 to 507 of the family's 1533-position model. The record is from RNAcentral.
GACGAACGCUGGCGGCGUGCUUAACACAUGCAAGUCGAACGGAAAGGCCCUGCUUUUGUGGGGUGCUCGAGUGGCGAACGGGUGAGUAACGCGUGAGUAACCUGCCCUUGACUUUGGGAUAACUUCAGGAAACUGGGGCUAAUACCGGAUAGGAGCUCCUGCUGCAUGGUGGGGGUUGGAAAGUUUCGGCGGUUGGGGAUGGACUCGCGGCUUAUCAGCUUGUUGGUGGGGUAGUGGCUUACCAAGGCUUUGACGGGUAGCCGGUCUGAGAGGGUGACCGGCCACAUUGGGACUGGGAUACGGCCCAGACUGCUACGGGAGGCAGCAGUGGGGAAUAUUGCACAAUGGGCGGAAGCCUGAUGCAGCAACGCCGCGUGCGGGAUGACGGCCUUCGGGUUGUAAACCGCUUUCGCCUGUGACGAAGCGUGAGUGACGGUAAUGGGUAAAGAAGCACCGGCUAACUACGUG